This 233-nucleotide ribosomal RNA is filed under the name uncultured bacterium. RNAcentral describes it as "partial 16S ribosomal RNA". It matches the Rfam family "Bacterial small subunit ribosomal RNA", at positions 100 to 334 of the family's 1533-position model. The record is from RNAcentral.
CGGGACGGGUGAGUAAUGUCUGGGAAACGUGCCUGAUGGAGGGGGAUAACUACUGGAAACGGUAGCUAAUACCGCAUAACGUCGCAAGACCAAAGAGGGGGACCUUCGGGCUCUUGCCAUCGGAUGUGCCCAGAUGGGAUUAGCUAGUAGGUGGGGUAACGGCUCACCUAGGCGACGAUCCCUAGCUGGUCUGAGAGGAUGACCAGCCACACUGGAACUGAGACACGGUCCAG